This 72-nucleotide transfer RNA is filed under the name Marmota monax (woodchuck). Its description in RNAcentral is "tRNA.Ala". Lineage: Eukaryota; Metazoa; Chordata; Mammalia; Rodentia; Sciuridae. The record is from RNAcentral.
UGGUGGUCACUCAAUGGUACAGUGCUUCCCUAGCAUGCACGAGACCCUGUGUUCAAUCCCCAGAACCACCAA